AAACUUUCAACAACGGAUCUCUUGGUUUUGGCAUCGAUGAAGAACGCAGCGAAAUGCGAUAAGUAAUGUGAAUUGCAGAAUUCAGUGAAUCAUCGAAUCUUUGAACGCACAUUG
Molecule: ribosomal RNA, 114 nt
Filed under: Rhamphoria delicatula
Lineage: Eukaryota; Fungi; Ascomycota; Sordariomycetes; Rhamphoriaceae
Also listed under: 1 other name
Description: 5.8S ribosomal RNA
Rfam family: 5.8S ribosomal RNA
About the family: 5.8S ribosomal RNA (5.8S rRNA) is a component of the large subunit of the eukaryotic ribosome. It is transcribed by RNA polymerase I as part of the 45S precursor that also contains 18S and 28S rRNA.
Source: RNAcentral